Molecule: ribosomal RNA, 506 nt
Filed under: uncultured bacterium
Lineage: Bacteria
Description: bacterial SSU rRNA
Rfam family: Bacterial small subunit ribosomal RNA
Source: RNAcentral
GAUGAACGCUAGCGACAGGCCUAACACAUGCAAGUCGAGGGGCAGCGGGGAGGUAGCAAUACCUUUGCCGGCGACCGGCGCACGGGUGAGUAACACGUAUGCAAUCCACCUGUAACAGGGGGAUAACCCGGAGAAAUCCGGACUAAUACCCCAUAAUAUGGGCGCUCCGCAUGGAGAGUCCAUUAAAGAGAGCAAUCUUGGUUACAGACGAGCAUGCGCUCCAUUAGCCAGUUGGCGGGGUAACGGCCCACCAAGGCGACGAUGGAUAGGGGUUCUGAGAGGAAGGUCCCCCACAUUGGAACUGAGACACGGUCCAAAACUCCUACGGGAGGCAGCAGUGAGGAAUAUUGGUCAAUGGACGAGAGUCUGAACCAGCCAAGUAGCGUGAAGGAUGAAGGUUCUAUGGAUUGUAAACUUCUUUUAUACGGGAAUAAACGGAUCCACGUGUGGAUUUUUGCAUGUACCGUAUGAAUAAGGAUCGGCUAACUCCGUGCCAGCAGCCGCGG